Molecule: ribosomal RNA, 421 nt
Filed under: Cumella sp. 200912-8
Lineage: Eukaryota; Metazoa; Arthropoda; Malacostraca; Cumacea; Nannastacidae
Description: partial large subunit ribosomal RNA
Source: RNAcentral
CAUCGAGGUCACAAACUUUAUUUUAAAUAAGAACUUUAAAUAAAAUUGUGCUGUUAUCCCUGAAGUAAUUGGAUUAUAAGAUCUUUAAAGAGGGUCUAUUUGUUCAUGAUUUUGUUUAUUUAAUAAUAAGGAUUUUUUCUUAUCAGUCUUCCCAACUAAACUUUGUUUUAAAUUAUUUAAACUCAGGUCAAAAAAGUAAAAUUUUACAGGGUCUUAUCGUCUUUAGGUUUAUUGAAUAGGAGUUUUGACCUAUAAUUAAUUUAUAGUAUUUUAGCUUGAAUAGUUUAUUUCAUGUUUAACCUUUCAUUCUAGUUCUUAUUUAAAGAAAAAAUUAUUAUGCUACCUUAGUAUAGUGUGACUAUAGCUCUUUAAUUGUUCAGUGAGCAGGUUAGACCUUUUAUGGGUACAAAAAGACAUGUUU